AUGAUGAGGCAUUGGCAAGCUCCCUCCUGUCUCCUCGUCCUCCUCUUCGCCCUCGUUUCCUCCGAGGCUUCCACUCUAGACGAUACAUGCAGGUCCAUCGGCGCAAGCAAGAAGGACAUCGGCUACGACUACUGCAUCAAGUUCUUCCAGGCCGACAACGCCAGUGCGACCGCGGACAGGCGCGGCCUUGUCGUCAUCGCCACUAAGAUCACCCGAGAAGAGGCCGCGAACAUCCGGAAGCGGAUCGAUGCCCUCAAGGCCUCGGGGACGGACAAGAAGGUCAGCGGGCGCCUCUCCGACUGCCGCAUGCACUACACGAACGCGCUGAAAUGGCUCGAAGCCGCGGCGGAGGGCGUCAAGUCGGGUAAUUUGCAGAAGGCGAAGAUGAACCUCACAGGCGUGAUAUUGGGCACCGACACCUGCGAGGAAAGGUUCCGCGAGCUGGGUGUCGUGUCGCCGCUGGCCGCCGAGGACGCCGAGUUCUCCAAGGGCUGCUCUAUCGCUCUCGCCAUAACGACCAUGUUGUAG
Molecule: ribosomal RNA, 528 nt
Filed under: Triticum aestivum (bread wheat)
Lineage: Eukaryota; Viridiplantae; Streptophyta; Magnoliopsida; Poales; Poaceae
Description: partial small subunit ribosomal RNA
Source: RNAcentral